This 253-nucleotide ribosomal RNA is filed under the name uncultured bacterium. Its description in RNAcentral is "partial 16S ribosomal RNA". It matches the Rfam family "Bacterial small subunit ribosomal RNA", at positions 524 to 776 of the family's 1533-position model. The record is from RNAcentral.
UACAGAGGUCUCAAGCGUUGUUCGGAUUCAUUGGGCGUAAAGGGUGCGUAGGCGGGUCUUUAAGUCAGGGGUGAAAUCCUGGAGCUCAACUCCAGAACUGCCUUUGAUACUGAAGAUCUUGAGUUCGGGAGAGGUGAGUGGAACUGCGAGUGUAGAGGUGAAAUUCGUAGAUAUUCGCAAGAACACCGGUGGCGAAGGCGGCUCACUGGCCCGAUACUGACGCUGAGGCACGAAAGCGUGGGGAGCAAACAGG